CCUACGGGAGGAGCAGUGAGGAAUCUUGCGCAAUGAGUGAGAGCUUGACGCAGCGACGCCGCGUGCUGAGGAAGCUCCAAGGAGUGUAAAGGCCUGUUGUUGGGGGAGAACCUGUGUGAUACGGAAGUAUCAUGCACUGACGGUACCCAGCAUAGCAAGCCCCGGCUAACUCCGUGCCAGCAGCCGCGGUAACACGGAGGGGGCAAGCGUUGUCCGGAAUCACUGGGUGUAAAGGGCACGCAGGCGUCUAUAUAAGCCUCUGGUGAAAGUCUACUGCUUAACGGUAGAUGUGCUAGAGGAACUAUAUAGAUUGAGCAUAGAAGGCGGAUGCGGAACUCCUGGUGGAGAGGUGAAGUUCGUAGAUAUCAGGAGGAACACCAGCGGAGAAAUCGGCAUCCUGCUCUAUUGCUGACGCUGAGGUGCGAAAGCGUGAGUAGCGAACGGGAUUAGAGACCCCGGUAGUCGACGCCCUGCACCAUGUAUACUUGAUGUUCAGGGUU
This 500-nucleotide ribosomal RNA is filed under the name uncultured Deferribacterales bacterium. Its description in RNAcentral is "bacterial SSU rRNA". It matches the Rfam family "Bacterial small subunit ribosomal RNA", at positions 338 to 831 of the family's 1533-position model. Lineage: Bacteria; Pseudomonadati; Deferribacterota; Deferribacteres; Deferribacterales. The record is from RNAcentral.